This is a long non-coding RNA of Gossypium arboreum, 1086 nucleotides long. RefSeq lists it as uncharacterized. Lineage: Eukaryota; Viridiplantae; Streptophyta; Magnoliopsida; Malvales; Malvaceae. The record is from RefSeq and is a predicted model, not a curated record. The transcript is spliced from 6 exons.
UGAGCAAUAGUAACAUUUUUUAUCCAAACGCUACGAAUACAUAUUAUUUUUUGUCAAACGGUAAUAUUUUAUUAGCGCUGAAAUGCCUUGCUCUUUUUCCCAAAAUCAACUCCCCCUCCCCAAAAUCCAUAAUUUAUUUCCCCGAACCUAUUCAGAGGAAGCGUAAACAAGCAGCUUCAGAAGCGGUAGAAGGAUUUAAUGUCUUUAAGAGUUCAAAAAGGCACUGGUUAUAAGCAAAGAUAACAAAACAGACGAUGGAGAAGAUAAUCUUUCUAGAGAAAAGAAGAAAAUAAACCUAAAAUUGGAGAUAUGGAUGUGAGUCUUAUUUAUUGCACAAUUUUGCUAAACUUGGAUUUAAAGAGCCAACACCAAUUCAACAACAGGCUAUUCCGGUUCUUCUAUCCGUAUUUGGCUCUUCUAGCAAAACAUCUCGUGUUGGCAAAAGCAGCGACCUCUGCACUUUAGACUUGUGUUGGAGAUUUGAUUUGCCAACUUGCAAUUGAUCAUGUGCCAUCCCUAGACGUGAAAAGGACAUUUCUGUUUACACUAUUGGGUUUGGUAUUAGUUGGUCCUACAUUGCACUUCUGGCUAAGUCGGAUAUAGAUGGCCUGCUAUAGGAUUGGAAGAGUUUAGUGAUUUCUUCGACUUCGAGUUGAUGAGACAUUAGUUGUCAAUCUAUUACUUCAAAUUAAUUCGGUGAGACACUGGAUGUCAAUUUACUUCGGGUUAACCGAUAAGACACUGGGUGUCAAAUUAUUACUUCGAAUUAUCCGAUGAGGCACUAGGUGCCAAACUAGUGUGUUUUGGUUGGAUCCGUGUAUCCGUCCAAAUCUGAGUCGUGUUAAUAGGAGUAAUUAAAUUAAAUGAUACUACGAUUGGUAUUGGGAAACAUUGAAUGUGAAAUGAAAAUGAGACACAUGGAUUGUGCAUCAUAUUGUGAAAAGCUAUUGAGAUAGCAAAUGAUGAUAAUUGAAUAUGUUAUGAAUAAUUCAUUUAGGAAUUGAUUAAUUGAAGGGCUAUUGUUAUUGUAUGAUUACAUGAGUAUGUUAUGUUAAUUUUUUUUAAAUAUUCGGAUUAUAGAAAUAA